GCCAAACAACCAUAAUAGGUGGUGGUGGGAGAGGACGGGUCAAAGAAAUUCCAAAAAAGGAUGCAAGUGUCACAUCUCCUCGCCAAUGCUCAACUCGGAAUAGUCCUCCCAUAUGAAAGAAGGAGAUCAUGCGGUAGACCCUCCAAAUAAUACGUCUGGCCACGAUACGAAUGCCUCUAUGCUUCGCAUCAUUCCUCUCAGUCCAUAGAAACCAAAAUACCAAUAGAGGAAUGAUAAUACGAAUGUG
This 247-nucleotide long non-coding RNA is filed under the name Olea europaea (common olive). RNAcentral describes it as "long non-coding RNA (OEUR_LNC008546)". Lineage: Eukaryota; Viridiplantae; Streptophyta; Magnoliopsida; Lamiales; Oleaceae. The record is from RNAcentral.